Molecule: ribosomal RNA, 482 nt
Filed under: uncultured bacterium
Lineage: Bacteria
Description: partial 16S ribosomal RNA
Rfam family: Bacterial small subunit ribosomal RNA
Source: RNAcentral
AUUGAACGCUGGCGGCAUGCUUUACACAUGCAAGUCGAACGGUAACAGGCCGCCAGGUGCUGCCGAGUGGCGAACGGGUGAGUAAUGCAUCGGAACGUGCCCAGUCUUGGGGGAUAACUACUCGGAAGAUUAGCUAAUACCGCAUACGAACUAUGGAUGAAAGCGGGGGACCGUAAGGCCUCGCGCGAUUGGAGCGGCCGAUGUCAGAUUAGGUAGUUGGUGGGGUAAAGGCCCACCAAGCCAACGAUCUGUAGCAGCUUUGAGAGGACGACCAGCCACACUGUGACUGAGACACGGCCCAGACUCCUACGGGAGGCAGCAGCGGGGAAUUUUGGACGAUGGAGGCAAGCCUGAUCCAGCAAUGCCGCGUGCAGGAAGAAGGCCUUCUGGUUGUAGACUGCUUUUGUACGGAACGAAACGGCUCUGGUUAAUACCCGGGGCUAAUGACGGUACCGGAAGAAUAAGCACCGGCUAACUACGUG